This is a long non-coding RNA of Xenopus laevis (African clawed frog), 1477 nucleotides long. RefSeq lists it as uncharacterized. The transcript has 3 exons. Lineage: Eukaryota; Metazoa; Chordata; Amphibia; Anura; Pipidae. The record is from RefSeq and is a predicted model, not a curated record.
CCCAAUAGGCUGGUUUUGCUUCCAAUAAGGAUUAAUUAUAUCUUGGAAUUGGGACAGCAUUAUAAUGUCAUCAUGGGUACAAAGUGAUCCGAAAAUUUGAUUUGGGGAACUCUAUUUAUUUUAAAAGGUGUUUUAGCUUCAGUGUAUUGUACUGUCAAUAAAAAUUUGAAGAUUUUAUUUUUGGGGGGAUUUCUAUGCUGUUCAUAUGGUUUACAAUAUACCACCCUCUGGGUUUCUUACCAGUGAGACGUUGGUUAUAGGUUUAGCUGAUCUUUUCAAUUAAAGCGGCAAAAAUACUAAAUAGUGAUCAUUCUUGUAUUCAUUUUUACACACAUAUUUGUACAGUAUAUGUAUAUAUAUAGUAUAUAGUCUGUGUGGCUUUUUAAUAUUGGCAAUGUAAUAUCUACUAGUUUAUCCACAUUGUCUGGCAGCCAAAUAGAAGCUGGGUUAGAACUGUAUUUUGUUGUCUGUAAUGGUACAAACCCUUGGCUGGGAAAAAAGAAAUAACUAUUACUUCAAACUUGGCCUAAACAAGGCAGAAGAUAAAUUAUUAGUGAAUAUGGUUCUUUUAGCCGAAGAACGAUUCAGGACUCUACACCUUUUUUUGUUGUUGCUACAAACAAAUUUUCACUUCUACUGUACACAAAUCUUAAUGAUUUAUUUUUAUGGUUAGUGGAACAGAAAGUACUUGUAUGUAUUAACUGAUAGCUUAAGUUGGAAUACGUUGGAAAAUAGAGUCAAUGUAAGCCUGUUAUUGACAAUAUAGAUGUUUAGAUCACAUUACAGGUAGCUAAUAUACAGUACAGCAGAUAUUAUACAAUGGAAAUGUGAAUAUUGCCUUUUAUGGGGUUUUUUUUUUCAUAACCACUGAUAUCUUUUCUCUUGUCAUUUCAGAAUCAUUUGGCAAAUAAUUCAAACAAUUUACAACUAUAUAUAUGACAAAAUCUUUAGAUUCGCUUAUUUUAUCAGUUCAAAGCGCAUCCAACAUGAAACAGAUCAGUACUUUUUUGAAAAAGAGGAUAUUGAAAAACAGGAUGAAAAGCUUGAUGAACCGGAUUUCCCUAAACUCGGCAAAUGUUGCUCGAUACUUCUUAUUAUUGCACUUGCUUUCCUUAUGGCAGUGAGUAAUACGGACAACAUCAUUUAUAAAUCUGUCCGUCCCUACAUAGAAGAGGAAUUCGAAAUAACGGACUUUUAUUCGUCAGUUAUAACUCUAAUGUUUGUUGGCAGCUGUGCAACCAUGGCCCCGAUAUUAUUUUAUUUCUGGAGUACCUUCACCGGACUAAGAGUAAUAUCAGGAGUUGUCGCCGUAAUGGUCAUGUUCGGCAUUGGCAGUACUUUAGUUUCAGAGAAGGUAAUAAUCUGUUUAUGACAGCCAAUGGCAUUUCAAUUCACUAAACAUGUAAAGACAGUACCUACACAGCAAUUCAUUUUGUUCACUCUGUAUCCUAUCAAUGCAUGAGUUUCUAAUUUGUAU